Molecule: ribosomal RNA, 305 nt
Filed under: uncultured bacterium
Lineage: Bacteria
Description: partial 16S ribosomal RNA
Rfam family: Bacterial small subunit ribosomal RNA
Source: RNAcentral
ACAGCAGCAGCCGCGGGAAUACGAAGGGGGCUAGCGUUGUUCGGAAUCACUGGGCGUAAAGCGCACGUAGGCGGACACUUAAGUCAGAGGUGAAAUCCCAAGGCUCAACCUUGGAACUGCCUUUGAUACUGGGUGUCUUGAGGUCGAGAGAGGUGAGUGGAACUGCGAGUGUAGAGGUGAAAUUCGUAGAUAUUCGCAAGAACACCAGUGGCGAAGGCGGCUCACUGGCUCGAUUCUGACGCUGAGGUGCGAAAGCGUGGGGAGCAAACAGGAUUAGAUACCCCUGUAGUCCCUGUCUCUUAUAC